UACAGAGGGUGCGAGCGUUGUUCGGAAUUACUGGGCGUAAAGCGCGCGUAGGUGGUGUAUUAAGUCUGCCGGUCAAAUGCCGAGGCUCAACCUCGUUGCACGCCGGGGAUACUGGCACGCUAGAGACAAGUAGAGGCAAGCGGAAUUCCGGGUGUAGCGGUGGAAUGCGUAGAGAUCCGGAAGAACACCGGAGGCGAAGGCGGCUUGCUGGGCUUGGUCUGACGCUGAGGCGCGAAAGCGUGGGGAGCGAACAGG
Molecule: ribosomal RNA, 255 nt
Filed under: uncultured bacterium
Lineage: Bacteria
Description: partial 16S ribosomal RNA
Rfam family: Bacterial small subunit ribosomal RNA
Source: RNAcentral